This is a long non-coding RNA of Vidua chalybeata, 261 nucleotides long. RefSeq lists it as uncharacterized. The transcript is spliced from 3 exons. The record is from RefSeq and is a predicted model, not a curated record. Lineage: Eukaryota; Metazoa; Chordata; Aves; Passeriformes; Viduidae.
GGGCUUGCCUCUGGGUACCAGGGAUGCAGCAUACCAGGACUUGGCAUAUGGAGCUGGAACCCAUCCUGGAUACUACAGAGGGGUUCUUUCCCAUAGCAGAUGACUUUGCUGCCUGGCAGUCUCCUGUUCACCACUGCUGACUGCAAGGAUACUGGGCUCAAGAGGGAUGCAGACUCUCUUCUCAUCUUUGGGACAGGGACCAAGCUGAAUAGAUGAUGAGGAUGCUGCAGUGCAGAAGAGCCCAGAACAUUUGGAGAGCAG